CCUACGGGUGGCAGCAGUGGGGAAGAGUGCACAAUGGGGGAAACCCUGAUGCAGCAACGCCGCGUGAGUGAUGACAGCCUUCGGGUUGUAAAGCUCUGUCUUCAGGGACGAGAAUGACGGUAACUGAGGAGGAAGCCACGGCUAACUACGUGCCAGCAGCCGCGGUAAUACGUAGGUGGCGAGCGUUGUCCGGAUUUACUGGGCGUAAAGGGAGCGGAGGCUGACUUGUAAGUGAGAUGUGAAAUACUCGGGCUCAACUUGAGGGCUGCAUUUCAAACUGGAAGUCUAGAGUGCAGGAGAGGCGACUGGAAUUCCUAUUGUAGCGGUUACAUGCGUAGAGCUUAG
This 345-nucleotide ribosomal RNA is filed under the name uncultured bacterium. RNAcentral describes it as "partial 16S ribosomal RNA". It matches the Rfam family "Bacterial small subunit ribosomal RNA", at positions 338 to 700 of the family's 1533-position model. The record is from RNAcentral.